GUCCACGCCCUAAACGAUGUCAACUAGGUGUUGGGUGGGUAAACCAUUUAGUACCGGAGCUAACGCGUGAAGUUGACCGCCUGGGGAGUACGGCCGCAAGGUUAAACUCAAAGGAAUUGACGGGACCCGCACAAGCGGUGGAUGAUGUGGAUUAAUUCGAUGCAACGCGAAAACCUUACCUACCCUUGACAUGUCAGGAACUUGCCAGAGAUGGCUUGGUGCUCGAAAGAGAACCUGAACACAGGUGCUGCAUGGCUGUCGU
Molecule: ribosomal RNA, 262 nt
Filed under: uncultured bacterium
Lineage: Bacteria
Description: partial 16S ribosomal RNA
Rfam family: Bacterial small subunit ribosomal RNA
Source: RNAcentral